UAAGGUGGUUAUAGCAAUGGGGCUCACCUCUUACCAUUCCGAACAGAGAAGUUAAGCCCAUUAGCGCAGAUGGUACUGCAGCAAUGUGGGAGAGUAUGUCGCCGCCUUUUUUAAUUAAGUCCUUACUUUUUAAAGUAAGGACUUUUUUUAUACCUGAAAU
Molecule: ribosomal RNA, 160 nt
Filed under: Kordia periserrulae
Lineage: Bacteria; Pseudomonadati; Bacteroidota; Flavobacteriia; Flavobacteriales; Flavobacteriaceae
Source: RNAcentral